AACGAACGCUGGCGGCAUGCCUAACACAUGCAAGUCGAACGAGGACUUCGGGUUUGGUGUCUCACGGGUUCGUGACGCGUGGGGACCCGCGCUUGGGUUCGGACUAAGUCCCCGGAAGGGGUGCUAAUACCGGAUACUGUCUCCGGACCAAAGAUUUAUCGCCUUUGGAUGGGACCGCGUUGGAUUUGCUGUUUGGUAGGGUAAAAGCCUACCAAGGCGACGUGCCAUAGCUGGGCUGAGAGGAUGAUCAGCCACACCUGAACUGCGACACGGCCCACACUCGUACGCGAGGGAGCAGUGGGGAAUAUUGGACAAGGAGCGCAAGUCUAGUCCAGCAAUGCCGGGUAAGUGAUGAAGGGCUUAGUGUUGUAAUGCUAUCAUAGCCGGGAUGAUAAUGACAGUACCGGGAGAAUAGGCUCCGGCUAACUCCGUG
RNAcentral lists this ribosomal RNA (433 nucleotides) under uncultured bacterium. Its description in RNAcentral is "partial 16S ribosomal RNA". It matches the Rfam family "Bacterial small subunit ribosomal RNA", at positions 29 to 507 of the family's 1533-position model. The record is from RNAcentral.